UCGGAAACGGCUGCUAAUACCGCAUAAUGCAGCGGCAGCACAUGCUGAUCUGUUGUUAAAGCGGGGAACGAGCAAUCGUCCUCGCGCCUGAAGAGAAGCCCGCGGCGGAUUAGCUUGUUGGUGAGGUAACGGCUCACUAAGGCUGCGAUCCGUAGCCGGCCUGAGAGGGCGGUCGGCCACACUGACACUGACACACGGGUCAG
Molecule: ribosomal RNA, 203 nt
Filed under: uncultured bacterium
Lineage: Bacteria
Description: partial 16S ribosomal RNA
Rfam family: Bacterial small subunit ribosomal RNA
Source: RNAcentral